UUACAUUAACAUUCUUAGCAGAAUGGGGUGAUCGCUCUCAACUAACUACAAUUGUAUUGGCAGCUAGAGAGGACCCCUAUGGUGUAGCCGUGGGUGGAACUGUGGGGCACUGCCUGUGCACGGGAUUGGCAGUAAUUGGAGGAAGAAUGAUAGCACAGAAAAUCUCUGUCAGAACUGGUAAGAGGCAUCGUUUUUUUGGCGUUUGCAUUUUCUGCACUAUUUAUAAGCCCUGAUUCUGGUUUUUAACAAGCUGUUUGUUCAUCUAUAUUUAGUUUAAAAUAGGUAGUAUUAUCUUUCUGUACAUAGUGUACAUUACAACUAAAAGUGAUGGAAAAAUACUGUAUUUUGUAGCACUGAUUUUGUGAGUUUGACCCAUUAUUAUGUCUGAGAUAUAAUCAUUGAUUCUAUUUGUAACAAGGAGUUUUAAAAGAAACCUGACUUCUAAGUGUGGGUUUUUCUUCUCUCCAACAUAAUUAUGUUAAUAUGGUCCUCAUUUUUCUUUUGGUGCAGAACCGUUGUGCAGUGGGGUCUACCAUGCAAUUUUCUUUCAGCACUGACCCCUUUUUAAGGAAUACAAAUUUUCUCCUUCAUCACUUAGGUGUUUUAAGAUGUUUACCUUAAAGUUUUUCUUGGGGAAAGAAUGAAUUAAUUUCUAUUUCUUAAAACAUUUCCCUGAGCCAGUAAACAGUAGUUUAAUCAUUGGUCUUUUCAAAACUAGGUGUUUAAAAAAAGAGACAUAUAUGAUAUUGCUGUUAUAUCAAUAACAUGGCACAACAAGAACUGUCUGCCAGGUCAUUCUUCCUCUUUUUUUUUUAAUUGGGUAGGACACCCAAUAUAAAAACAGUCAAUAUUUGACAAUGUGGAAUUACCAAAUUAAAAGAGAAUACUAUGAAUGUAUUCAUAUUUUUUCUAUAUUGAAUAAACAAUGUAACAUAGAUAACAAUAUAAAUAAAAGUGGUAUGACC
Molecule: long non-coding RNA, 965 nt
Filed under: Homo sapiens (human)
Lineage: Eukaryota; Metazoa; Chordata; Mammalia; Primates; Hominidae
Description: HSALNT0072490
Source: RNAcentral